Molecule: ribosomal RNA, 424 nt
Filed under: Verrucomicrobiota bacterium
Lineage: Bacteria; Pseudomonadati; Verrucomicrobiota
Description: Verrucomicrobia bacterium partial 16S ribosomal RNA
Rfam family: Bacterial small subunit ribosomal RNA
Source: RNAcentral
UGAGGAAUAUUGGUCAAUGGACGCAAGUCUGAACCAGCCAAGUAGCGUGCAGGAUGACGGCCCUAUGGGUUGUAAACUGCUUUUAUAUGGGGAUAAAGUGGGGAACGUGUUCCCUUUUGCAGGUACCAUAUGAAUAAGGACCGGCUAAUUCCGUGCCAGCAGCCGCGGUAAUACGGAAGGUUCGGGCGUUAUCCGGAUUUAUUGUGUUUAAAGGGAGCGUAGGCCGUUUGGUAAGCGUGUUGUGAAAUGUAGGAGCUCAACUUCUAGAUUGCAGCGCGAACUGUCAGACUUGAGUGCGCACAACGUAGGCGGAAUUCAUGGUGUAGCGGUGAAAUGCUUAGAUAUCAUGACGAACUCCGAUUGCGCAGGCAGCUUACUGUAGCAUAACUGACGCUGAUGCUCGAAAGUGCGGGUAUCAAACAGG